RNAcentral lists this ribosomal RNA (468 nucleotides) under uncultured bacterium. Its description in RNAcentral is "partial 16S ribosomal RNA". It matches the Rfam family "Bacterial small subunit ribosomal RNA", at positions 28 to 507 of the family's 1533-position model. The record is from RNAcentral.
GACGAACGCUGGCGGCGUGCCUAACACAUGCAAGUCGAACGGAAAGGCCCUGCUUUUGUGGGGUGCUCGAGUGGCGAACGGGUGAGUAACACGUGAGUAACCUGCCCUUGACUUUGGGAUAACUUCAGGAAACUGGGGCUAAUACCGGAUAGGAGCUCCUGCUGCAUGGUGGGGGUUGGAAAGUUUCGGCGGUUGGGGAUGGACUCGCGGCUUAUCAGCUUGUUGGUGGGGUAGUGGCUUACCAAGGCUUUGACGGGUAGCCGGCCUGAGAGGGUGACCGGCCACAUUGGGACUGAGAUACGGCCCAGACUCCUACGGGAGGCAGCAGUGGGGAAUAUUGCACAAUGGGCGGAAGCCUGAUGCAGCAACGCCGCGUGCGGGAUGACGGCCUUCGGGUUUUAAACCGCUUUCGCCUGGGACGAAGCGUGAGUGAGGGUAAUGGGUAAAGAAGCACCGGCUAACUACGUG